This 555-nucleotide ribosomal RNA is filed under the name Leuroleberis mackenziei. RNAcentral describes it as "partial 16S ribosomal RNA". It matches the Rfam family "Bacterial large subunit ribosomal RNA", at positions 1794 to 2621 of the family's 2925-position model. The record is from RNAcentral. Lineage: Eukaryota; Metazoa; Arthropoda; Ostracoda; Myodocopida; Cylindroleberididae.
UUUCGCCUGUUUAACAAAAACAUUUCCUUUUAGAAUUGUUAAAAGGUAGAGCCUGCCCGGUGUGGAAAUAAACGGCUGCGGUAUCCUGACCGUACGAAGGUAGCAUAAUAAGUAGUCUUUUAAUUGGGGACUGGAAUGAAAGGUUUAAUGAGGGGUAGACUGUUUUAUUAGCAAUGAUAGAAAUUGAUUAACAGGUAAAAAGGCCUGUUUAACAUAAAGUGACAAGAAGACCCUAAGAGUUUGAUAGGAGAUAGUGUAUUUGCGGUGGAUUGGUGAGUGACACGGAAGUAAGUAUUUCUUAGUUGACUGGGGCGGUUUAAAGAGUAUCUUUUUUGGUUAUUACAGGAAUGAGAGUAGUAUUUUAUUAGAAUUAUCCUUGUUGGAAAGCAAAAUUAAUUACCUUAGGGAUAACAGCAUAAUCUUUCUUGAGAGAUCUUAUUGACAGAAAGGUUUGUGACCUCGAUGUUGGAUUCGAAUAACUAUAGGGAGCAGAAUUUCUAUAAGUUGGUCUGUUCCGACCAUUAAAUUUCGACGUGAUCUGAGUUCAAACCGGAG